GACGAACGCUGGCGGCGUGCUUAACACAUGCAAGUCGAGCGGUAAGGCCCCUUCGGGGGUACACGAGCGGCGAACGGGUGAGUAACACGUGAGCAAUCUGCCCAUCACAUCGGGAUAACUCCGGGAAACCGAAGCUAAUACCGAAUACGACCACCUCCGGCAUCGGAUGGUGGUGGAAAGUUCCGGCGGUGAUGGAUGAGCUCGCGGCCUAUCAGCUUGUUGGUGGGGUAACGGCCCACCAAGGCUUCGACGGGUAGCCGGCCUGAGAGGGUGACCGGCCACACUGGGACUGAGACACGGCCCAGACUCCUACGGGAGGCAGCAGUGGGGAAUAUUGGACAAUGGGCGAAAGCCUGAUCCAGCAACGCCGCGUGAGGGAUGACGGCCUUCGGGUUGUAAACCUCUUUCGGCAGGGACGAAGCGCAAGUGACGGUACCUGCAGAAGAAGCACCGGCCAACUACGUG
This 465-nucleotide ribosomal RNA is filed under the name uncultured bacterium. RNAcentral describes it as "partial 16S ribosomal RNA". It matches the Rfam family "Bacterial small subunit ribosomal RNA", at positions 28 to 507 of the family's 1533-position model. The record is from RNAcentral.